This 253-nucleotide ribosomal RNA is filed under the name uncultured bacterium. RNAcentral describes it as "partial 16S ribosomal RNA". It matches the Rfam family "Bacterial small subunit ribosomal RNA", at positions 524 to 776 of the family's 1533-position model. The record is from RNAcentral.
UACGUAGGGUCCGAGCGUUGUCCGGAAUUAUUGGGCGUAAAGAGCUCGUAGGCGGUUUGUCGCGUCUGCUGUGAAAUCCCGAGGCUCAACCUCGGACCUGCAGUGGGUACGGGCAGACUGGAGUGCGGUAGGGGAGAAUGGAAUUCCUGGUGUAGCGGUGGAAUGCGCAGAUAUCAGGAGGAACACCGAUGGCGAAGGCAGUUCUCUGGGCCGUAACUGACGCUGAGGAGCGAAAGCGUGGGGAGCGAACAGG